Long non-coding RNA from Saccostrea cuccullata (small rock oyster), 648 nucleotides. RefSeq lists it as uncharacterized. Lineage: Eukaryota; Metazoa; Mollusca; Bivalvia; Ostreida; Ostreidae. The record is from RefSeq and is a predicted model, not a curated record. The transcript has 3 exons.
AUAUGUGAUUGGUUUAGUGGAGUUUUUGGAGGCUUAAAACAAAAAAGGCACACUGAUUACAAAUUUAGUAAUAAUUAAUUAUGAAAGGCUGAUAUUUGAUUAUAUCAAAAUAUGUAAAAUAUUGGUGGGAGACUCAAAGAUGUAAAAGGAAUUCAAAGGUAAAGAUUACUUUUUUCUACAUUUUGAAGCAUUUUUUGCUUCCUAAUUACUUCCCUUGAACUACUCUCUAACGUUUGGAGGUACAAUGUGUAUUUAGUAAACAGCAAUGAACAUUUUCUGGCGAAAGAUCUCAUCAAAGUUUUACAGUCUGGAAGAAGAAAAGAAGGCUAGACAUCUUAAACAAUGAAGACAGAAGGAUUUACCAUAUAAGAUGAAUAAAGAAAAAGUAAGACCAGUAAACCAAAACAGGACCAAAUAGGCCAUGACUGAAGUUCAAGUGCAUUCUCAAAGAAAGUGGACAGCCUAGAUUUUGUUCUUUUCAAGGUUGAGAAGGGAUGCCAUAUUUUAGGUUUGAAACCAGGCAAGUGAAAGCUGAAUUCCAACCUACUUCAACAUACUUGUACCCACUGUCUUCAAGAUAUCAGUGUUUGAGAUGUCAAAGUUCAAAUAUAAUAGGAACAUGUUUAUCGUAUUAUGUGAUGGCAUCCU